UGGGAUAAGCGUUGGAAACGACGUCUAAUGGCCGGAUAACGACCCUCGGAGGCAUCNCCUGGGGGNGGAAAGAAUUUUGGUCAAGGAUGAGCUGCGCGGCCUAUCAGCUAGUNGGUGAGGUAAUGGCUCACCAAGGCGACGACGGGUAGCCGCCUGAGNGGGUGACCGGCCACACUNUCCCNUUNACACGGCCCAGACUCCUACGGGAGGCAGCAGUGGGGAAUAUUGCACAAUGGGCGAAAGCCUGAUGCAGCAACGCCGCGUGAGGGACGACGGCCUUCGGGUUGUAAACCUCUUUUAGUAGGGAAGAAGCGAAAGUGACGGUACCUGCAGAAAAAGCACCGGCUAACUACGUGCCAGCAGCCGCGGUAAUACGUAGGGUGCAAGCGUUGUCCGGAAUUAUUGGGCGUAAAGAGCUCGUAGGCGGUUUGUCGCGUCUGCUGUGAAAACUGGAGGCUCAACCUCCAGCCUGCAGUGGGUACGGGCAGACUAGAGUGCGGUAGGGGAGAUUGGAAUUCCUGGUGUAGCGGUGGAAUGCGCAGAUAUCAGGAGGAACACCGAUGGCGAAGGCAGAUCUCUGGGCCGUAACUGACGCUGAGGAGCGAAAGCAUGGGGAGCGAACAGGAUUAGAUACCCUGGUAGUCCAUGCCGUAAACGUUGGGAACUAGAUGUGGGGACCAUUNCNCCGGUNUUCCGNUUUCGCAGUAAACCGCAUUAAANUUNCCCCCCUGGGGAGUACGGCCGCAAGGCUUAAAACUCAAAAGGAAUUUGACGGGGGCCCCGCACAAGCGGCGGAGCAUGCGGAUUAAUUCGAUGCAACGCGAAGAACCUUACCAAGGCUUGACAUAUACGAGAACGGGCCAGAAAUGGUCAACUCUUUGGACACUCGUAAACAGGUGGUGCAUGGUUGUCGUCAGCUCGUGUCGUGAGAUGUUGGGUUAAGUCCCGCAACGAGCGCAACCCUCGUCCUAUGUUGCCAGCACGUAAUGGUGGGAACUCAUGGGAUACUGCCGGGGUCAACUCGGAGGAAGGUGGGGAUGACGUCAAAUCAUCAUGCCCCUUAUGUCUUGGGCUUCACGCAUGCUACAAUGGCCGGUACAAAGGGCUGCAAUACCGCAAGGUGGAGCGAAUCCCAAAAAGCCGGUCUCAGUUCGGAUUGAGGUCUGCAACUCGACCUCAUGAAGUCGGAGUCNCUAGUAAUCGCAGAUCAGCAACGCUGCGGUGAAUACGUUCCCGGGCCUUGUACACACC
RNAcentral lists this ribosomal RNA (1251 nucleotides) under Glaciibacter kafniensis. Its description in RNAcentral is "bacterial SSU rRNA". It matches the Rfam family "Bacterial small subunit ribosomal RNA", at positions 139 to 1391 of the family's 1533-position model. Lineage: Bacteria; Bacillati; Actinomycetota; Actinomycetes; Micrococcales; Microbacteriaceae. The record is from RNAcentral.